UUAUAAAUGUGACCCGGAGUGUAUUUUAAUCAUUGUCCUUUUCCUCAUCUGGCCACUAAGAGAAAGCAAGACUGAGAGUUGAAAUGACUUGCCAAGUUGAGAAGUGUUUGCAAAGUUUGGCCCUGACACUGGCUGCUGACAUCAUCCUGUCACAGAAGCCACAUUGUCCACCUGCUGAGCAGCCAUGGUGAAGGCAUGCUGGAGCCUCACCUCUAGGUGGACUUGCUGGGUGGUGGGUAAAGUAGGAAGGAUGAAUUCGUGACUUCCUCCUGCCCACUGAACACCUCGCUGAACACCCCACACACUCUCCAGGUCACCGAGAUGAGACCUCAGGGAAAAAUCAGCCAAGUCCAGAGAGUCUCGAGGACUCCCGGCUAGCAGUUGGUUCACCAGGAAGCUCAACGUAUCCUACAGAUUAUUGGCCAUUGUGAACAUGCCCAGAAGAGCUGUUUCCCGUCAGCCUGGCCCCAGAACAAAGACCUGGAACAGACUUGAACUGAAGCUGGAGCCAGGAACCAAGGCCAGCCAACCUUCAGCCUGAAAGAGAGCUAGGUUAGCCAAACCGUGUCAUGUACAGAUCCAC
This 583-nucleotide long non-coding RNA is filed under the name Equus caballus (horse). Its description in RNAcentral is "lncRNA (ENSECAG00000046550.1)". The record is from RNAcentral. Lineage: Eukaryota; Metazoa; Chordata; Mammalia; Perissodactyla; Equidae.